This 496-nucleotide ribosomal RNA is filed under the name uncultured bacterium. RNAcentral describes it as "partial 16S ribosomal RNA". It matches the Rfam family "Bacterial small subunit ribosomal RNA", at positions 28 to 507 of the family's 1533-position model. The record is from RNAcentral.
GAUGAACGCUGGCGGCGUGCCUAAUACAUGCAAGUCGAGCGAACAGACGAGGAGCUUGCUCCUCUGACGUUAGCGGCGGACGGGUGAGUAACACGUGGAUAACCUACCUAUAAGACUGGGAUAACUUCGGGAAACCGGAGCUAAUACCGGAUAAUAUAUUGAACCGCAUGGUUCAAUAGUGAAAGACGGUUUUGCUGUCACUUAUAGAUGGAUCCGCGCCGCAUUAGCUAGUUGGUAAGGUAACGGCUUACCAAGGCAGCGAUGCGUAGCCGACCUGAGAGGGUGAUCGGCCACACUGGAACUGAGACACGGUCCAGACUCCUACGGGAGGCAGCAGUAGGGAAUCUUCCGCAAUGGGCGAAAGCCUGACGGAGCAACGCCGCGUGAGUGAUGAAGGUCUUCGGAUCGUAAAACUCUGUAUUAGGGAAGAACAAAUGUGUAAGUAACUAUGCACGUCUUGACGGUACCUAAUCAGAAAGCCACGGCUAACUACGUG